Molecule: ribosomal RNA, 497 nt
Filed under: uncultured bacterium
Lineage: Bacteria
Description: partial 16S ribosomal RNA
Rfam family: Bacterial small subunit ribosomal RNA
Source: RNAcentral
GAUGAACGCUGGCGGCGUGCCUAAUACAUGCAAGUCGAGCGAACAGACGAGGAGCUUGCUCCUCUGACGUUAGCGGCGGACGGGUGAGUAACACGUGGAUAACCUACCUAUAAGACUGGGAUAACUUCGGGACACCGGAGCUAAUACCGGAUAAUAUAUUGAACCGCAUGGUUCAAUAGUGAAAGACGGUUUUGCUGUCACUUAUAGAUGGAUCUGCGCCGCAUUAGCUAGUUGGUAAGGUAACGGCUUACCAAGGCAACGAUGCGUAGCCGAACGGAGAGGGUGAUCGGCCACACUGGAACUGAGACACGGUCCAGACUCCUACGGGAGGCAGCAGUAGGGAAUCUUCCGCAAUGGGCGAAAGCCUGACGGAGCAACGCCGCGUGAGUGAUGAAGGUCUUCGGAUCGUAAAACUCUGUUAUUAGGGAAGAACAAAUGUGUAAGUAACUAUGCACGUCUUGACGGUACCUAAUCAGAAAGCCACGGCUAACUACGUG